UGUUGGUCUGAAUGCAGUUGGUGUUUACAACUACUUAAUCAUAACUGGUUUAUGGAUUUCUUUGUUCCAUCUUCACUUCCACUGCUCCACUUGACUAGUCUUUA
Molecule: unclassified non-coding RNA, 104 nt
Organism: Cercocebus atys (sooty mangabey)
Lineage: Eukaryota; Metazoa; Chordata; Mammalia; Primates; Cercopithecidae
Rfam family: Y RNA
About the family: Y RNAs are components of the Ro ribonucleoprotein particle (Ro RNP), in association with Ro60 and La proteins. The Y RNAs and Ro60 and La proteins are well conserved, but the function of the Ro RNP is not known.
Source: Ensembl